GACGAACGCUGGCGGCGUGCCUAAUACAUGCAAGUUGAGCGCUGAAGGUUGGUACUUGUACCGACUGGAUGAGCAGCGAACGGGUGAGUAACGCGUGGGGAAUCUGCCCUUGAGCGGGGGACAACAUUUGGAAACGAAUGCUAAUACCGCAUAAAAACUUUAAACACAAGUUUUAAGUUUGAAAGAUGCAAUUGCAUCACUCAAAGAUGAUCCCGCGUUGUAUUAGCUAGUUGGUGAGGUAAAGGCUCACCAAGGCGAUGAUACAUAGCCGACCUGAGAGGGUGAUCGGCCACAUUGGGACUGAGAAACGGCCCAAACUCCUACGGGAGGCAGCAGUAGGGAAUCUUCGGCAAUGGAGGAAAGUCUGACCGAGCAACGCCGCGUGAGUGAAGAAGGUUUUCGGAUCGUAAAACUCUGUUGGUAGAGAAGAACGUUGGUGAGAGUGGAAAGCUCAUCAAGUGACGGUAACUACCCAGAAAGGGACGGCUAACUACGUGCCAGCCGCCGCCGUAA
RNAcentral lists this ribosomal RNA (513 nucleotides) under uncultured bacterium. RNAcentral's name for it is "partial 16S ribosomal RNA". It matches the Rfam family "Bacterial small subunit ribosomal RNA", at positions 28 to 523 of the family's 1533-position model. The record is from RNAcentral.